GAUGAACGCUAGCUACAGGCUUAACACAUGCAAGUCGAGGGGAAACGGCAUUGAGUGCUUGCACUCUUUGGACGUCGACCGGCGCACGGGUGAGUAACGCGUAUCCAACCCUCCCAUUACUGUGGGAUAACCUGCCGAAAGGCAGACUAAUACCGCAUAGUCUUCGAUGACGGCAUCAGAUUUGAAGUAAAGAUUUAUCUGUAAUGGAUGGGGAUGCGUCUGAUUAGCUUGUUGGCGGGGUAACGGCCCACCAAGGCUACGAUCAGUAGGGGUUCUGAGAGGAAGGUCCCCCACAUUGGAACUGAGACACGGUCCAAACACCUACGGGAGGCAGCAGUGCGGGAGAUUGGUCAAUGGACGGAAGUCUGAACCAGCCAAGUAGCGUGCAGGAUGACGGCCCUAUGGGUUGUAAACUGCUUUUGUAUGGGGAUAAAGUUAGGGACGUGUCCCUAUUUGCAGGUACCAUACGAAUAAGGACCGGCUAAUUCCGUG
Molecule: ribosomal RNA, 492 nt
Filed under: uncultured bacterium
Lineage: Bacteria
Description: partial 16S ribosomal RNA
Rfam family: Bacterial small subunit ribosomal RNA
Source: RNAcentral